Molecule: long non-coding RNA, 107 nt
Organism: Amblyraja radiata (thorny skate)
Lineage: Eukaryota; Metazoa; Chordata; Chondrichthyes; Rajiformes; Rajidae
Exons: 3
Source: RefSeq, a predicted model, not a curated record
AACUAGGAAGGGGAAAAGUUUAAUUGAGAUGUGUGUGGCAUGUUUUCUACACAGAGAGUGGUGGGGACCUGGAACACAUUGCCAGGGGUGGGGGGUGGAGGCAGAUA